RNAcentral lists this long non-coding RNA (284 nucleotides) under Ananas comosus (pineapple). RNAcentral's name for it is "long non-coding RNA (ACOM_LNC012975)". The record is from RNAcentral. Lineage: Eukaryota; Viridiplantae; Streptophyta; Magnoliopsida; Poales; Bromeliaceae.
UUUGGAGGUAGAGUUAUCAACGAGCUGAAUACAAACACAAGCAAACUUUGUUCGACUUGUGUUCAUUCGUUUAAAUAAACAAGUCGAACACGAGUUGGUUCGUUAAAAUAUCGACCUGAAAAAUUUAGCCCGUGUUUAGCUUGUUUAUUAACGAACUGAAUACGAGCUAGCUUACAAACAGCAAGUUAGAUUCUCAGUAUUAUUACUGAAUGAAAAGUUGAAAGAAAAUAAGAAAAUUAGAAUCUUAAUCUAAUAAUUAAAAUUUAUAAAAUAUAAGUCACUUU